Molecule: long non-coding RNA, 3517 nt
Filed under: Gossypium barbadense (sea-island cotton)
Lineage: Eukaryota; Viridiplantae; Streptophyta; Magnoliopsida; Malvales; Malvaceae
Description: long non-coding RNA (GBAR_LNC002727)
Source: RNAcentral
ACAAAUGAGAGUUAGGAGUGUGUACUUGUUUGGAGGUUUGAAGAGAAAAUAAUAAAUAUAUUAAGGUAUGUUAAUUUUUUUUUGUAAUAUUUAAUUUGAAAAAAGUAUUAUUUAUAUUUUAGGUUAGGGUUAUUGUCGGAUUUACAACUAUAAAAAAGAAAGAAUCGUAGAGAAGAAGCAAGAACAUUUAGCAACAUAAUCAUCUGUUAAAGUUUUAAAUUUCACUCAACUUUAUUUGAACAAUAAAACAGGGAUAGUUAUAACAAGAAACAUUGCUAAAAUGGGAGGAAAUAACUUAAGAUUUUAUGCUAAUAAUGCUAAACAUAUUAUACUAAUAAAUACUAAAUUUUCUAGAAAGAAAAUAUAUCUUGUAAACUAAACUUGCAUGCAGGCCCUUAAAUUCCAGUUGCUUCUCAGUUACAUGGUUUAGCUUUAUACAACUCGCGUCUUUUACCUCGACCCCAGUUCGUAUCUUUCUUAUGAUCCUAGUUCGCUAAAGAAAGAAACUUUCCACUUCGUGAUAACUCGCCAAUCUUAGAGGGUUUGUCAAUAUUGGUGUGUUCGCCAACUUUGCAUGUGUUCAUUUGGGGUAGCUCGCCAUACCCAGAGGGUUCGUCAAUUUGAUGAUCUCGCAGUCUUGAUGAGCUCACAUUUUUAGGUGAGUUUGCAUGUUUGAGUGAGCUUGCAUGGAUGACCACUUCACAAUAGUUGUGUUAAAAGUUAAUUGAUAUAUUAUUAGAUUAGAUUAGUGUUAAGGUAUGUUAACUUCGAACAUUAUACUUUUCUUUGAAUAUUAUAAUUGUGUAUUAAGAUAUAACAUUGAACAUUUUUUUGAAAUAAAAUGACUGUGCUAUUAUUUGAUAAAUAAAAAUAGCUACCAAAACCCCCCAACACAUAUUGGUCUCAGUGUUUUUUAGAAAACAAAUAAAAACGGACAUGGGUACCCACUUCUAAAUGAGAAGCCCAUUGCUAGAAGUAAACAAAACAGAAAACGACAAUAAAUUUGAAAUAGACAAACAUAAAGGAAAUAAUAAAAAUAAAUAAAAUGAAGCCCUAUCCCUAUCCCCAGUCACAUUUUAACAGCCUGACCACCAUUUAAUUUUCUUAUCUUUUCACGCCAUCAGCCAUGCCUUUUCAGCAGAUUUAUCUUCCCAAAAAUCUUUUUACUUUACCUGCUAAUUUUGUCUUCUCACUUCCUCCUUCACCACCAGAUUCAAUCUGGAUUUCUUCUCCACCUUCCUUCCAGAGCGAUCUCACUAUGGUUCAUCUCAUCCUCCUUUAGGUACGUUUCCUCCCUUCUUUUUAGUGCUUCUGUUACUAUUCUAUGAGCGUGAGUUCUCAGAUCAGUGAAUGAACUGAAAAGUAACCUUUGGGAGCCCCGAUCUUUUAUUCUGAAUAUCCUUGAUGAUUGUUCCUAGUACUGAUUUAUCCAUUGCUGUCGAUUGAAAUUUUUUUAUGACUGUUUUUGAAUCUCCCAUUGUUGUUACUGAGUUUAGACCCAGUAAUAAUACUAACUUGAUGGCUUCUAAUCCUACCCGAGCUUCUGCUACGAACGGGGAUGAGAUAUUGUUAUGGAGAAUCGUCUUUGAGGCUUUAAACUCACCAAUUUGGUCCCGAACCACCAAACUUGAAGCCGAUCUAAAACAUCUCCUAUCAAAGGCAACAUCAAACUGUACCAUAGUGCUCGUUGUUAUCCUUGGUGGUUGAUGAGUUUUCACUGUAGUAAAGGUAAGCUUUUUAUCACGCACCCUUCAAGUUCUGCAACAUAUCUUCUGAUUUUUUGUGACAUAGCUCUGACUGUAAUGUGUUUUCUUUCAUGUAUAAACUGAUUUCUUGAGCCCCAAAUGAACCAUAAGGCGCAAUAAAAGAAAUCGCACCGUUCAUUAGUGCCUUUUCUGAAAGCCCAGGUCAGCCACUCCCAGAUGUUGUGACUUGUAUGCGAUGUAACCCAAGAGAGAUAUAGCUCUUGUCAUAACUCAUUUGUUGCCGAACACUGUCUGAAAACAUGGAAGCUAUCCUCUGCUCUGGAGCUACAACGGGGACAUGUAUCAUUUGUAACCACACGCUUAUGUCUAAGAUUAACUAGUGUGGGGAUGAAAUUCCAAGAGAUCCUCCAAAUGGUCAAUGUAAUUUUUGAUUGUAGCUGUAAGUCCCAUAGCUUUCUAUAAAAUUCUUUAGUUUCGGCCUGUAAUAAAUAACUGGUAGGAUCCAAGCUAGCAUAUUGUAAUAGUUUAUAGGCACUUCGGACUGAAAAAUCUCCGGAAGGUUCUCCUUUCCACACUGGAAAUCUUCGUAGUCUGCUCUGCAAGAGGAAUCUACAAUAUCUUUUAGGCUACUUCCAUUUGGAAGGUAUUAUUGAUUAACUCUGCUUUCCAUGUCUCAUUUUCACUAUCAAUUAGAUCUAAAACUUACUGUAGCUCAUUAUUUUCUUCGCUGGUUUGCCAACCAACUUUUUCACUCCCUAGGAUCCAGCAAUCAUUCCAUAUAGAAAUAUUAUUCCCUCUUCCAAUUCUCCAGUACAAUCCGUUUCGGAGGAGACCCUUUGCUGCCCAGAUGCUCUUCAAGGUAAAAGAAGGUCCCAACUUGCACUUAGAAAAUUCAAAUUUGGAAAAUAUUUUCUUUAAGAACUCUUGCCAGUAAAGAAUUUGGGUAAUUAAAAAUACGCCAACCCUGUUUGGCUAAUAACGCAAUAUUGAAUUGGCUAAAACUUUGGAAACCCAAACCUCCAUUCUUUUUUAAAAAACAGAUAUUUUUCCAUGAGCACCAGUGAAUACCUUUUUUCCAAUGCCACUUUUUCCACCAAUAUUUGGCAAUAAUCCCUUCCAGUUCAUCACAUAAAGAUUUUGGUAAUAAAAAACAAGCCAUUGAAUAUGUCGGUAUAGCCUGUAAAAUAACUUUUAUAAAAACUUUCUUUCCACCAUGAGACAAAUAUCUCUUGCUCCAAUUAUCGAUGCGCUGUUUUAUUCGAACUUUUAAAACUUGGAAAGAUUAUUUUUUAUUUUUCCAACUAUACUCGGCAAACCUAAGUACCUUUCCGAAUCGCUUGAGCUACGAACUCCUAAUUGAUUAACAACGGCUUGUCUGUCUUCCUCUGAUGUAUUUUUACUGAAAAAGAUGGUUGAUUUGUCAAAAUUAACACACUAACCCGAUCUUUUUUUGUAUUCACGCAAGAUUUCCUUGAUUGUCAAAGCUUCUCUUCUUGUUGCCUCCCCAAAUAAGAUGCAAUCAUCUGCGAAUGAUAAAUGAGAUACCUGUGGACCGCUUCUACUCACCUUGAACAUUUUAUUUUGGUUAUUUUGUACGAUAUGUUUAUUUUAUUAGAAUUAUAAAAUGAUUAGAAUUGUUAAAAUUGUGAUUUAAGAUACAUUGAACAUUAUAUUUUUGUUAUUUUGGAGUGUAUGUUUAUUGAGAUAGUUUUGGUAGUGCAUGUUUAUUUUAUUAGAAUUAUUAGAAUUGUGAUUUAAGAUCGUUUUGAUAAUGUAUGUUUAUUUUAUUUUGUAAUAAAAAUUACAAAAAU